This is a non-coding RNA of Sturnus vulgaris (Common starling), 92 nucleotides long. NCBI's taxonomy places the organism in Eukaryota, Metazoa, Chordata, Aves, Passeriformes, Sturnidae. The record is from RefSeq and is a predicted model, not a curated record.
AAGAGAGUCAUACAAAAAGCUACAAAGAUGAUGAGGGGACUGGAGUAUCUCUCUUAUGAGAAAAGGCUGAGGGAGCUGGGCCUAUUCAGCCU